UACGUAGGGGGCAAGCGUUAUCCGGAUUUACUGGGUGUAAAGGGAGCGUAGGCGGCUUAGUAAGUCAGAAGUGAAAGCCCGCAGCUCAACUGCGGGACUGCUUUUGAAACUGCCAGGCUAGAGUGUCGGAGAGGUAAGUGGAAUUCCUAGUGUAGCGGUGAAAUGCGUAGAGAUUAGGAAGAACACCAGUGGCGAAGGCGACUUACUGGACUGUAACUGACGCUGAGGCAUGAGAGCAUGGGGAGCAAACAGG
RNAcentral lists this ribosomal RNA (253 nucleotides) under uncultured Eubacteriales bacterium. Its description in RNAcentral is "uncultured Clostridiales bacterium partial 16S ribosomal RNA". It matches the Rfam family "Bacterial small subunit ribosomal RNA", at positions 524 to 776 of the family's 1533-position model. Lineage: Bacteria; Bacillati; Bacillota; Clostridia; Eubacteriales. The record is from RNAcentral.